CCUUACCAAGGCGCAAGAGUGAAACCUGGUUAAGGAACUCGGCAAAAUAGCCCCGUAACUUCGGAAUAAGGGGUGCCCUCUUCGGAGGGCCGCAGUGAAAUGGAUCAACCGACUGUUUAGCAAAAACACAGCAUUCUGCCAAGACGCAAGUCGAAGUAUAGGAUGUGACACGUGACCAAUGCCGAAAGAUUAAGGCAAGGGGUUAGCGCAAGCGAAGCUCUGAACCCAAGUCCCGGUGAAUGUCGGCCGUAACAAUAACGGUCCUAAGGUAGCGAAAUUCCUUGUCGGGUAAGUUCCGACCUGCACGAAUCGUGCAACGAGUUGAUCGCUGUCUCAACCAGGAGCUCAGUGAAGUUGUAGUGCCGGUGAAGAUGCCGGCUACCCGCAGAAGGACGGAAAGACCCUAUGAACCUUAACUGUAAGCUGUCACUGGUUUUUCGGUUUCAAUGCUCAGAGUAAGUGGGAGACUUUGAAGCGGCCCUUCAGGGGGCUGCAGAGUCAUCAAUGAGACACCACCCUUUGAAUUUGGAGAAUCUAACAUCCUGCCCUGAAUCGGGCGGAAGGACAAUGGCAGCCGGUCAGUUUUACUGGGGCGGUAUCCUCCCAAAGUGUAACGGAGGAGCGCGAAGUUUGGCUCAGCGCGGUUGGCAAUCACGUUUCGAGUGUAUAGGCAUAAGCCAGACUAACUGUGAGACGGACAUGUCGAGCAGAUACGAAAGUAGGCCUAAGUGAUCCGGUAGUUGAAUGUGGAAUUGCUAUCGCUCAACGGAUAAAAGGUACUCUAGGGAUAACAGGCCGAUCGCGCCCAAGAGUUCAUAUCGACGGCGCGGUUUGGCACCUCGAUGUCGGCUCAUCGCAUCCUGGGGCUGGAGAAGGUCCCAAGGGUUUGGCUGUUCGCCAAUUAAAGCGGUACGCGAGCUGGGUUCAGAACGUCGCGAGACAGUUCGGUCCUCUAUCCUCUGUGGGCGUAGGAGAAUUGAGGGGUUCAAACCCUAGUACGAGAGGACCGGGUUUGACGCACCUCUGGUGUACCAGUUAUCCUGUCAAGGGCACGGCUGGGUAGCUAAGUGCGGACUAGAUAAGCGCUGAAAGCAUCUAAGCGUCAAGCUAUUCCCAAGAUAAAUUCUCCCUGAAGGAUCGUGGUAGACUACCACGUCGAUAGGCUGCAGGUAUAAGUUUAGUAAUAAGUUCAGCCGAGCAGUACUAAUCAUCC
Molecule: ribosomal RNA, 1213 nt
Filed under: metagenome
Description: bacterial LSU rRNA
Rfam family: Bacterial large subunit ribosomal RNA
Source: RNAcentral